GCCUCGGUGGUGCAAUGGAAAGCACAACAGACCGGAUAUCUGUAAGUGCGGGUACGAGUCCCGCCUGAGGUU
This is a non-coding RNA of Dictyocaulus viviparus (bovine lungworm), 72 nucleotides long. Lineage: Eukaryota; Metazoa; Nematoda; Chromadorea; Rhabditida; Metastrongylidae. The record is from Rfam.